CGUCUGCUACCUGUAAGAAUUUAUUCUUUUUUAAAUUGUCGGACUGUGAAGAGGAAUCUGGUGAGUUCUAAAGUUAAAAUAUAUUUGUUUUAUUUUUUAGACCGCUCUAUAAGACGUGACUGCGAAUGUCUUUAGAUCAGUGUGCAGCACUAAUUUUGACUAAUGUGGAUGUUUUCAUUUAAGUUCCUGCAUUUUCAAAAAAUUAAAUCACAUUUAUACGUCUAUAUACGACAUUCUUUGUGGUUUUGAGUAAUCAUUUUUAUCUGUGUUCUUCUUUUGUUUUUGUUUCAAUUGCUGUAGUUGUGUUGAGCUUUCUUUUAAUGCGUAUUUGAGGGGCUCGUAGGUGGCCUGUUGCAAGGCAAUAUUUCUGUCCCUAUCUAGUGGCAGUCCAAAUUUCCCCGACCAUCAUCCCCAUGGCCUCUAUUACUAGACCUUUCUAUUGUAUUUAUUAUUAACUUGUUCUCGUACUGAAUAUGCAUGACAUAUUUGCCACUGGACGUUAAGCAACCAACAAUUAAUCAAUCUUUUAAUGAUUUCAUGUUAAAGCCAAUUGCGCAAGAUCUUUUAUAUAUAAGGUGAUUCAUAAAUAUCUUAUUUAAUGUGCGCAUAUAGUGUUUUGAACAGUAUUAAUUCUUCUCCUGUCAGGUGUAUAAAAUUACGUAAUUUUGAAUAAAUAUCCAGACUACUUCAUGAUAAGCGUAUAAGAUAUAAGAAAUGUAAUAAACAUAUUUUUUUUGAAUUGUAUGGUACACAUAGAGUAUGCUAUUAGUUAAAUGCAAUCAAGUGUAGCAAUAUUAUUUUAGCAUAUUAAUCUAUUGCAAUAAAAAUUCAUAAUAUCUAAUAAAAUUUUUAGAUUUAGCUAACAAAGUCCUUAUAUUUGCAUAAAGUAACAUUCGUUUAUAGUGGAAAAUUGUUUUAACGUUGAAUAAGCUUCAAUUAAAAAUUGCUUGCUAGUCCCUCUCUGUGAUUACCAUUAGAUAACUCUAGUUCAUUUCCCAAUCAAUCUAUCAUCAAGGGAAGAUAAAUAAUGCAAUAUUCAUCCAAAGUCUUUUUCAAAAAUGAUAAACGGUUUUUUAUAUUGGUAUGUAAUCAUUUUAAAGGUUUCACAUAUGAAAUUAUAUUCGUACAUCAAUGUUUUUGAUACACCAAUAACAAAAACUGAAAUAUAUUGAAUUGAUACAUUUUGUAAUUAUUCAAAAUUAUAUCAGAAACUAAAUUAAUUAUAAAUAAUGAACCUGUUCUAAAUAUUAUUUAAUGUCGCAUAUAGUGUUUUGAAACAGUAUUAAUUCUUCUCCUGUAGGUGUAUAAAUUACGUAAUUUUGAAUAAAUAUCCACUACUUUGAUAAGCUUAAAAGAUAUAAGAAAUGUAAGAAACAUUUUUUUUAAUUGUAUGGUACACAUAGAGUAUGCUAUUAGUUAAAUGCAAUCAAGUGUAUCGAUAUUAUUAUAGCAUAUUAAUCUAUUAUGAUAAACAUUCAUAAUAUCUAAUAAAAUGUGUAGAUUUAGCUAAUAAGGUCCUUAUAUUUGUAUAAAGUAACAUUUGUUUAUAGUGGAAAGUUGUUUUAACGUUAAAUAAGCUACAUUUAAAAAUUGCUUUCUAGUCCCUCUCUGUGAUUACCUUUAGAUAAGUCUGGUUCAUUUCCUAAUAAAUCUAUCAUGAAGGGAAGAUAAUAAAUACUAAUUUCAAUCAUAGUCUUUUUCAAAAAUGAUGAACGGUUCUUUAUAUUGGUAUGUAAUCAUUUUAAACGUUUCAAAUUUAUGAAAUUAUAUCGUACAUCAAUGUUUUUGAUACACCAAUCACAAUAACUGAAUUAUAUUGAAUUGAUACAUUUUGUAACUAUUCAAAUUUAUAUCAGAAACCUAAACUUAAUUAUAAAAUAAUGAACCUGUUAAAGGGAGGAAUACGUAAAAGUUAACUUUUCGAAUUGGCACAUAAUACGAAAUGUCACUUUGCUUACAAAUUCUCACAUCAAUAUGAUAAUUUGAAUUGCUGCUUCUUUUUGUACUUUAUUGGGGUGUAAAAGCGUUGACGAUACAUUCUGUAUGAAGCGCGGAAGCGCUUCAUUUAUAAAAAUGUGCGCACGGUCAACACUUUUACAACCCUAUAAAGUUACAAGAAGCAUUCAAUACCUUUAUAAUUUAUUUUUAGCAGGAUAAUGAACACGAUUUUUAUCAUUUUUUUUUAUUUAAUUCACCUGUGCACUUUAUUGUGUGACCUCGUGUUAUCAUGAAUGAUAAGUUUUAUUGUGUAAUGCAAUUGCUUACGGAAUAACACGUGCUGUGCAGUUAGCCAAUCAGAAUAACGUAUUAUAAUGAAACAUACAUCUAAUGUAAUUAUUUAACUGUGUAAUCGCGCUCCACCUUCAAUGAUGAUUCUAAAUUAUAAAUAUAACAAAAGUUGUUAAUCUAUAGAUAGUAAAGACUAAUGAAAUCUAACCCACUGUUAAUAUUUCUUUGCAUUUUUUUAAAACUUCCUCAGUAAAAUGCUUGGGCCACUUGACUUUCAUAGCUCAUAAUUAACGUUUUUACACAAUAUUUAUAUCAAGUAGCUAAAGAUUAUUCGCUUCUCAAAGUGUAAGACGCAAUAAAAAUCGUAUGCUUGCACCAUCUUACCCAAAAACAGAUUUAAUUAAGUUGGAACAUUUGACAUUUUUUCGUUAAAACCGGUUUUAAACAAAUCACAAGUACGUGUUAAGAUCCGACUAAAUACCCAUAUCCAGAUAUCGUCAGGUAAAUUUACUAAUCCGAUAUUGGUUAAUAAAAUUAUCUAUCUAUUGUAUUUGUGCAUUUCGUUGCUCCACACUUCUGUCUGGAAAUAUUGUUUGUACAGUCACACUACUAUGAAUUCAAAUAUACUUUUCCCCUUGUUUUUUUAUUUUUUUUACAGUCGAGUUCAUUGAAUGUGUAUGAAAAGAAAAUAUCUUUGGUUAGCUUACUUGCUAGCUGUAACAUGAAGGAAUUAUUAGGAAAGGUUUAAUAUCCUCCUUUCGAAGACGCCUAGUUCUACAGACGGAUAGAUUGGGUAUCUGUCGGACUAGUCUAAUCUUAAAAGGAGGGUAGUUCAACUAAACCAAAUAACUUACCAAAAGUAUUACCUUUGCCUACAAACUCAAUGCAAUCGGCUGUAACACAUUUUUCUUUUUCUCGACAGCUUGUUGCGGAGGACCUGGAUAUGCCUCACCACUUUCUGCCAUGCGGAGCGGGCUAGGGAGACAUUGGUAUAUAUUCCCUGUAUCAUCCCACCAAGCAGACGGAAUGUUGAGCCAGAUUACCUGGUCACAGUAGACGUUGACCCAAAAUCACCAACUUACUGCAAGGU
Molecule: long non-coding RNA, 3319 nt
Filed under: Mytilus galloprovincialis (Mediterranean mussel)
Lineage: Eukaryota; Metazoa; Mollusca; Bivalvia; Mytilida; Mytilidae
Source: RNAcentral